RNAcentral lists this ribosomal RNA (468 nucleotides) under uncultured bacterium. RNAcentral describes it as "partial 16S ribosomal RNA". It matches the Rfam family "Bacterial small subunit ribosomal RNA", at positions 28 to 507 of the family's 1533-position model. The record is from RNAcentral.
GACGAACGCUGGCGGCGUGCUUAACACAUACAAGUCGAACGGAAAGGCCCUGCUUUUGUGGGGUGCUCGAGUGGCGAACGGGUGAGUAACACGUGAGUAACCUGCCCUUGACUUUGGGAUAACUUCAGGAAACUGGGGCUAAUACCGGAUAGGAGCUCCUGCUGCAUGGUGGGGGUUGGAAAGUUUCGGCGGUUGGGGAUGGACUCGCGGCUUAUCAGCUUGUUGGUGGGGUAGUGGCUUACCAAGGCUUUGACGGGUAGCCGGCCUGAGAGGGUGACCGGCCACAUUGGGACUGAGAUACGGCCCAGACUCCUACGGGAGGCAGCAGUGGGGAAUAUUGCACAAUGGGCGGAAGCCCGAUGCAGCAACGCCGCGUGCGGGAUGACGGCCUUCGGGUUGUAAACCGCUUUCGCCUGUGACGAAGCGUGAGUGACGGUAAUGGGUAAAGAAGCACCGGCUAACUACGUG